This 497-nucleotide ribosomal RNA is filed under the name uncultured bacterium. Its description in RNAcentral is "partial 16S ribosomal RNA". It matches the Rfam family "Bacterial small subunit ribosomal RNA", at positions 28 to 507 of the family's 1533-position model. The record is from RNAcentral.
GAUGAACGCUGGCGGCGUGCCUAAUACAUGCAAGUCGAGCGAACAGACGAGGAGCUUGCUCCUCUGACGUUAGCGGCGGACGGGUGAGUAACACGUGGAUAACCUACCUAUAAGACUGGGAUAACUUCGGGAAACCGGAGCUAAUACCGGAUAAUAUAUUGAACCGCAUGGUUCAAUAGUGAAAGACGGUUUUGCUGUCACUUAUAGAUGGAUCCGCGCCGCAUUAGCUAGUUGGUAAGGUAACGGCUUACCAAGGCGACGAUGCGUAGCCGACCUGAGAGGGUGAUCGGCCACACUGGAACUGAGACGCGGUCCAGACUCCUACGGGAGGCAGCAGUAGGGAAUCUUCCGCAAUGGGCGAAAGCCUGACGGGGCAACGCCGCGUGAGUGAUGAAGGUCUUCGGAUCGUAAAACUCUGUUAUUAGGGAAGAACAAAUGUGUAAGUAACUAUGCACGUCUUGACGGUACCUAAUCAGAAAGCCACGGCUAACUACGUG